AUGGCCUGGACAGGCAGCAAACAAACCCAUGUUCCAAGCCACAGAGAUGUAUAUGAGUCCCCACAGGAUAUGACAGGAAGCAGGAGGUUUGAGGUGGGGACAUCUCUCUGCUGCAGCUGCAAUGCAAGAAAGGCUGACCCAAGUCACACCAAAAGUCCAGUUUAUGCUACUUGUCAGCAUUUCUCCUUUUGGACAGAAGCAGAAAAUAACAGUGUUCCACGAGUGAAUGCACAAGUGGACUUCACAAAAUCACUGGGCUGUUUGCAGUGGGUAUCUAGAAAUUCAACCUUGUGGUACUUUGAUGUGCAUUAA
Molecule: long non-coding RNA, 312 nt
Filed under: Zonotrichia albicollis (white-throated sparrow)
Lineage: Eukaryota; Metazoa; Chordata; Aves; Passeriformes; Passerellidae
Description: lncRNA (ENSZALG00000014366.1)
Source: RNAcentral